GAGGCUAGUGGGUGGCAACACCAUGUACAUAAUGACAUAUUUAGGAGAGGAGAAAGAGGUGCAAGUUAAGCUAGAAAGAAAAAAAAGAAGAACCAGGCAAAAUACCAACUGGAACAUCGUGACUCCAGGGUUUUUGCAUUUCUGACUGUUGCGUUCAUACUGAGGCACAGAGAACAUGUCGUCGCUGGAAGCCGGUCUGUGCAACUUGUUCAAGGUAUUACCUCUGCUGCCUAGGUAGCAGUGAGGCUGCACAACCAUUCCUACGCAGCACUGGCGUCUGCCCUCCUGCCCAUGCCCAUCUUCACCACCCUGAGCACAUUUGGAAGUUAGCACCCCACCAGGUACAUCAGGACAGGCUCAGCACUGACAGCUGCCGACAGCUAACAGGCUGCCUGCGUAACAGCCCUGCGGACGAGAAGCAGAACAUCCUGUGCGUGCGGCUGCUCCAAGAGCAGCUCUUGCAGAACAGCGUGUAUAGAGUCAGCAGGUUGCUUAUAUUUUAAACAUGAAAGCCGCUGAUGCCAUGCCCCUCGUUCGUCAGUGGCAUGCUGUGGGAAUAGUGCAGUGAGAUACAGCAUUUUCAUUAGGCCGAUUUUUGGAUGGCUGCCUUCUCAUCUGAAAUGAAGCGCUGGUCUGCCUGAGCUCAAGGUGUGAAGAUAAGGAAAGGAGAAAAGAAAUUAAGCAAGGAACACAAAUGAAAUAUAUAGUCAAUGUUCUUUUAUCUGGCCUGGACAGAAAGUGUCCUUGCCUUUUUUUUUCACCCCAGACUCCAAGCAAGCUGCUUAGCUUUGCAUACUACUUCGGCACUGUGAUACAAUCUAUGCCAACACCCAAGAUUCACAUUUGCUUUUAUUUUGCUUUCUAUUAAAUAAAGCAUGUAGAAAAGACGCCUUUAUAGCUUCAGGGCAAUUUUUCAUGAACUGACAUUGCAUAUUACUCAUUUUGUACCAGCGUGGUCCGCUUGCCAUUUCUUCUGUAAUACUGAAAAAGUCCAAAGCUGGUACUUAAUAAA
This is a long non-coding RNA of Aquila chrysaetos chrysaetos, 1012 nucleotides long. RefSeq lists it as uncharacterized. The record is from RefSeq and is a predicted model, not a curated record. The transcript has 2 exons. NCBI's taxonomy places the organism in Eukaryota, Metazoa, Chordata, Aves, Accipitriformes, Accipitridae.